UAGUCCACGCCGUAAACGAUGAUAACUAGCUGUCCGAACCCACAGGGUUUGGGUGGCGCAGCUAACGCAUUAAGUUAUCCGCCUGGGGAGUACGGUCGCAAGAUUAAAACUCAAAGGAAUUGACGGGGGCCUGCACAAGCGGUGGAGCAUGUGGUUUAAUUCGACGCAACGCGCAGAACCUUACCAGCUUUUGACAUCCUGGUCGCGGAUUUGGGAGACCAUUUCCUUCAGUUCGGCUGGACCAGUGACGGGUGCUGCAUGGCUGUCGUCAGCUCGUGUCGUGAGAUGUUGGGUUAAGUCCCGCAACGAGCGCAACCCUCAUCCUUAGUUGCUACCAUUUAGUUGGGCACUUUAAGGAAACUGCCGGUGAUAAGCCGGAGGAAGGUGGGGAUGACGUCAAGUCCUCAUGGCCCUUACAAGCUGGGCUACACACGUGCUACAAUGGCGAUGACAGUGGGCAGCGACCCCGCAAGGGUGAGCUAAUCUCCAAAAGUCGUCUCAGUUCGGAUUG
RNAcentral lists this ribosomal RNA (511 nucleotides) under uncultured bacterium. RNAcentral describes it as "bacterial SSU rRNA". It matches the Rfam family "Bacterial small subunit ribosomal RNA", at positions 791 to 1300 of the family's 1533-position model. The record is from RNAcentral.